RNAcentral lists this ribosomal RNA (27 nucleotides) under Phlebotomus papatasi. RNAcentral's name for it is "2S ribosomal RNA". The record is from RNAcentral. Lineage: Eukaryota; Metazoa; Arthropoda; Insecta; Diptera; Psychodidae.
AUGGACCACGUAUGGUUGAGUGUCGUA